CGGAGCGUAGCGCAGUCUGGUAGCGCACCUCGUUCGGGACGAGGGGGUCGGAGGUUCGAAUCCUCUCGCUCCGACCA
RNAcentral lists this transfer RNA (77 nucleotides) under Marinimicrobium koreense. RNAcentral describes it as "tRNA-Pro". It matches the Rfam family "tRNA". From Rfam's summary of the family: Transfer RNA (tRNA) molecules are approximately 80 nucleotides in length. Their secondary structure includes four short double-helical elements and three loops (D, anti-codon, and T loops). The record is from RNAcentral. RNAcentral also lists the same sequence under 10 other names. Lineage: Bacteria; Pseudomonadati; Pseudomonadota; Gammaproteobacteria; Cellvibrionales; Cellvibrionaceae.